AGAGUUUGAUCAUGGCUCAGGAUGAACGCUGGCGGCGUGCCUAAUACAUGCAAGUCGAACGGGAGAUGUAGCGAUAUGUCUCCAGUGGCGAACGGGUGAGUAACGCGUUGGUGACCUGCCCCGAAGAGCGGGAUAACAGACCGAAAGGACUGCUAAUACCGCAUGAGCUCUCGGCAGUUAGAGGGGCCGAGAGGAAAGGCCGAAAGGCGCUUUGGGAGGGGCCUGCGUCCCAUCAGCUAGUUGGCGAGGUAAGAGCUCACCAAGGCGAUGACGGGUAGGGGACCUGAGAGGGUGACCCCCCACAAUGGAACUGAAACACGGUCCAUACACCUACGGGUGGCAGCAGUCAGGAAU
RNAcentral lists this ribosomal RNA (354 nucleotides) under uncultured bacterium B1-12. RNAcentral's name for it is "bacterial SSU rRNA". It matches the Rfam family "Bacterial small subunit ribosomal RNA", at positions 8 to 362 of the family's 1533-position model. The record is from RNAcentral.